Molecule: ribosomal RNA, 576 nt
Filed under: uncultured eukaryote
Lineage: Eukaryota
Description: SSU rRNA
Rfam family: Eukaryotic small subunit ribosomal RNA
Source: RNAcentral
UUUGUUACUUCAAACCAAUCGGACUUCGGUCUGACAUCAAGUGAUAUUGAACAAUUUAGCUGAUCGCACGGUCUAAGAACCGGCGACAUAUCCUUCAAAUGUCUGCCUUAUCAACUUUCGAUGGUAGAUUAUGCGCCUACCAUGGUUGUAACGGGUAACGGAGAAUCAGGGUUUGAUUCCGGAGAGGGAGCCUGAGAAACGGCUACCACAUCCAAGGAAGGCAGCAGGCACGCAAAUUACCCACUCCCGGCACGGGGAGGUAGUGACGAAAAAUAACAAGCUGGUCUCAAUGAGUUCCAGCAUUGUAAUGGGAACAAUUUAAAUCUUUUAUCGAGGAUCUAUUGGAGGGCAAGUCUGGUGCCAGCAGCCGCGGUAAUUCCAGCUCCAAUAGCGUAUAUCAAAGUUGUUGCGGUUAAAAAGCUCGUAGUUGGAUCUAGGAUUAGGGCUACGGUCGUUCAGCUUGGACGUACUGUAUGCCCGACUCCUUUUCUCUAGUAUUCGAUUGUUGCUCUUAAAUGAGUGACUUUAGUUGCUGGAACUUUUACCUUGAAAAAAUUGAAGUGCUCAAAGCAGGUU